RNAcentral lists this long non-coding RNA (373 nucleotides) under Homo sapiens (human). Its description in RNAcentral is "non-protein coding lnc-SSU72P8-9:1". Lineage: Eukaryota; Metazoa; Chordata; Mammalia; Primates; Hominidae. The record is from RNAcentral.
GGGUGAGCCCUUGGGCCACGUCUUCUUCAAACUGUUUGUAGGCAAAGUUCCAAAGACAGCAGAAAACUUUUGUGCUUUGGGAACUGUAGAGAAAGAAUUUGGUUAUACGAGAUUCUGCUUUCACAAAAUUAUUCCAAGGUUUAUGUGCCAGGGUGGUAACUUCAUGCCAUAAUGGCACUGAUGGCAAAUCCAUAUGCGAGGAGAAAUUUGGUUAUGAAAAUUUCAUCCAGAAGCAUAGAGGUCCUGGCAUCUUGUCCAUGGCAAAUGCUGGACCCAAUAAAAAUGGUUUCCAAUUUUUAAUCUGCCAUGCCAAGGCUGAAUGGUUGGAUGGCAACCAUGUGGGCCUGGACAAUGUGAAAGAGGGCAUGAGGGU